UGAAAAGAAAAACCAUGCACCUCACUGUCUCAUCUUACCUUAUCCAGCACAAGGCCACAUGAACCCUAUGAUUCAAUUCUCAAAACGUUUAAUAGAGAAAGGAGUAAAGAUAACACUAAUAACAGUUACAUCUUUCUGGAAAGUAAUCAGCAACAAAAAUCUCACUUCUAUUGAUGUCGAAAGCAUCUCCGACGGCUACGACGAAGGAGGCCUUUUAGCAGCAGAAAGCUUAGAAGAUUACAAAGAAACCUUCUGGAAAGUUGGAUCACAAACUCUCUCAGAGCUUCUUCAUAAACUUUCAAGCUCAGAAAACCCUCCAAAUUGUGUUAUCUUUGAUGCAUUUCUACCUUGGGUUCUUGAUGUUGGAAAGAGUUUUGGAUUAGUUGGUGUUGCUUUUUUUACUCAAUCUUGUUCUGUUAAUAGUGUAUACUAUCAUACUCAUGAGAAGUUGAUAGAGUUGCCACUUACACAAUCUGAGUAUUUGUUACCUGGAUUGCCAAAACUUGCUCCAGGGGAUUUGCCUUCUUUCUUGUAUAAAUAUGGAUCCUAUCCGGGAUACUUUGACAUAGUUGUCAAUCAAUUUGCGAAUAUUGGUAAAGCUGAUUGGAUUCUUGCAAACUCGAUUUAUGAACUCGAACCAGAGGUACGUUACAUUAAAACUGCAAAAUUUCUUUCUUUACUUUAAUUUUCUGUAUUAUUAAGCUGCAGAAUUUAUUUUGAUAUGUUUGAAUUGAUUCUAAUGUCACCGUAGAAUUUGAAACUUUUAUCCCUAGAAUUGACUUUAAGCCUUAAAUUCACUUUUACAUGUAUGUUUGAUUUCACUAUUGAACAACACAAAAUUGAUUAUGGAAGUGUAGAGUUGCUUUUAACAUGUUUAGUGUUUAUAUAUUCUCAAGUAGAAUAGACUUUGCCUCUAUGAUUGAAUAUAACUCGAAGUUAAGACUUGAAGUUUUUGUCUCUAAAUAUGAUUUUUACAUUCAAAUUUAUUAUUCUACUUACAUUUACGUUGAGUUGUAGAAUUUAUUAUGAUGUUUGAAUUUUCUAAACUAGAAUUGAUUUGUCAUUCCGAAUUGAUUCUAAUGAUACGUUAUAAUUAGAAACUUUUGUCUCUAAAAUUGACUAUUAGCCUUAAAUUUUGUAGUUAAACUUACUUUUACGUGUACGUUUGAUUUCACUAUUGAAUUAGACAAAAUUGAUUAUGGAAGUGUAGAGUUGUUUCUCACAUGUUUAGAUGUUCUCGAGUAGAAUAGAAUUUGCCUUCAUGAUUGAUUCUAACUUGAAGAUAGGACUUGUAGCUUCUGUCUCCAAAUAUGAUUUUCACACUCAAAUUUAUUGUUGAGAUCACUUUCACCUAAACAACUUAUCAAAACAUAAACAACUUCGCAUUCAAAAUCAGUUUUACGAAGUGAAUUCAAUUUUCCUAAGUGAAUUCAUUCAAAAUCAGUUUUUGUCACCGCAGAACUAAACACACUUGUUCACUUGUUUUUACCUAUUAGAAUGUAAAGGUACAAUGUUUUAAAUCAUGUCGCAUCACGAUCUUAAUUAUUGUCUUAAAUAUUGUUGAGAAUCGCAAUCAAAUGCGAAUGGUCCUACUGUCUUUAUUUUCUGUUGAUGAUUUAAAUCUGAAUUUGAUUUAGGUGGUUGAUUGGUUAGUGAAAAUAUGGCCAUUAAAGACAAUAGGACCAUCAGUGCCAUCUAUGUUAUUGGACAAAAGACUCAAAGAUGACAAAGAAUAUGGUGUUAGCCUUUCAGAUCCCAAUACAGAAUUUUGCAUCAAAUGGCUGAAUGAUAAGCCUAAAGGUUCAGUUGUGUAUGCUUCAUUUGGUAGCAUGGCCGGUCUUAGUGAAGAGCAAACACAAGAACUAGCUUUAGGAUUAAAAGAUAGUGAAAGUUAUUUCUUAUGGGUUGUUAGAGAAUAUGAACAAAAUAAGCUUCCAAAAGGGUAUGUGGAAUCAUCAAAGAAAGGUUUAAUAGUGACAUGGUGUCCACAACUACUAGUGUUAACACAUGAAGCUUUAGGUUGUUUUGUGACACAUUGUGGUUGGAACUCGACGUUGGAAGCUUUGAGCAUCGGUGUUCCACUGAUUGCAAUGCCGCUUUGGACCGAUCAAGUUACGAAUGCAAAGCUUAUUGCUGAUGUUUGGAAAAUGGGAGUAAGAGCUGUUGCUGAUGAGAAAGAGAUUGUUAGAAGUGAAACAAUUAAAAAUUGUAUAAAGGAAAUUAUUGAGACUGAAAAGGGAAAUGAAAUUAAGAAAAAUGCUUUGAAAUGGAAGAAUUUGGCUAAGAGUUCUGUUGAUGAGGGUGGAAGAUCUGAUAAAAAUAUUGAAGAAUUUGUGGCUGCUUUGGCUCAAUGUUGAGAUGCAUUAAAAUUGACAAAAUUGGUGUGUGAUGAUUCCUAGUUUAUGCCUUCUGAAUUAUUGGUGUAUCCUUUCAUUUCACUUUUUUCUUUCCUUUAUGCAUAUGUGAUGUGAAUAUAAUAAGUUUAAGAUUGUCAUUUGGUAGGGUUGAAUCAUCUGUCUUACAAUCCAUGUGUUUUUCUGUAGUAGCAACAUUAAUUCCUUGUCAAACAAGUUGAAUAAUCUUAUUAGUUAAAUAUAGUAAUUGUUAUGCAGCCAAACUACAUAUUAAUGUAGUCAAUUGAGCUUAUUAUAUUAUGAUUCUUUUAUAAACAAAUAACUUAAUUGAAAAAUAAAUUGGAAGCUUAUCAUCGUAUUAUAAUAAACAUACUUAGGCUACAUUUUGAUUCUAGAUCCGAUAGUAUCACUCUUUUUUACGUACCUCCUUAUAAACUUUUCUAGUAAACUUUGUUGGUAUACAUACACUCCUCCGAUUAGGGGUGUGUCCCGAUGUGGGACACACGUCAGUGUCCGACACGAUACCUAUGAUUACAUUGAAAUUUGUUAUUUUCUCAAAUUAUUAUCUGUGUCGGUGUCUAUGUCGUGUCUGAUAUUGUGUCUGUGUCCGUACUUCUUGGGACCCAUUGUUCCGUACAAUAGUUAAUUUGCUGUGGAGUUAUCAUAGAAUGUUGAACAUGUAAAAGGACUUUCUCAUUUUGGUUCUUGAACUAGACAAUUUUACACAACUGAUAUACAAGAUGUUAUAAAAGAGCAGCAACUACUUAAAACAUACUGUUUUAAAAACAAUUUUAGAUAUUUGCCGUGGUGUUCCACACCAACACGUAUAAUUACACGAAAUUGUAUGAUUUUAUCAAAUUAUUAGCGGUGUUGAUGUAUCAGUGUCCAUGUCAAGUCUAGUGUCCGUAUUCGUACUUCAUAAUUAUCACGGUCACUGUGAUCUUAUGGUGCUGAGAUAGAUGCGGCCUCAAAUCGUGUAGUUGUCAGAAGACAUAAUUUUUUUAUAUAGCGGUCUAGAUCGCAGUCAUAGACGUAUUUUUAACAUUGUUUACUUUGUCCACAACAUAUGAUGAUAUAGAAAAUGACACAAAUUUGAGAAUUAAUUUUUUUUUUUGAAUCGGCUAAGUUUAUUCUCUACAGGUUUGUAUAAGGCACAAAAUAUCCACGGAUGGAAAAAACGGAAUACAACCGUAUAUAAGCAGGAGUUGUGUUAUUUGAACAUCCAUAUAUGUGACAAUUUUUACGACAACUAAAAUUUUAUAAAGGAAAUGAGGUAUUGACACAAAAAUCAAAGCAAUAGAGAAAAAAAGUAAAAAAAUAAUCUAAGUAUGAGAAAGAAAGUUAUCAUAAAAAUUGUCAAAAAUUAUCAAAAAUGGUAUCAAAAGAUCGCCUCAAAGACACAAACAACACCAAAAAAAACCUACUAAAAACGACAAAGAGCCGGCCAACAAAACAAAACAACAGCCGCCCCACACAAAAGAUGAGGCUGAGGUAUACAUACAAUAAGAAAGGGCCUACCUAUAACAUCGUGUUCUUUUUUUUCUUUUCUUUAACAUCAUUGAAUUCUCACCUUAACUACAACCUUGAUUUCAUGUUACCUCUUAAAAGCCAACAACAUUUACUCUUAAUAGCUAAACAUAGGAUGAAGCACAAAUAUAAACAUAGACAACUGCAUGUAUCGGUUCCGUGUCAGAAAUUUGAAUUUAAGUAGAGGGAUGACAGGUGUAAUUUUGCCAUUAGUGUUCCAUAAUGUUUGGAUAAUAUAUAAAUUUAAUCUCUGAUAGUAACUUAUACUACCUUCGUCCCUAAUUAUAAGGUUCUUUUAAAAAAAUAAGAGGAAUUAAGAUAAUGAAUAUUUAUAUUAAAUGUGUUUGUAAUUACUAUUGUUUUUACAAUUUUAUCUUUUAAGAAAGAGGGUUGGCUUAUGUUUUCAUCAUUAUAUUUAUUGCUGAUUCAAGAAAAAGAUGUAUAAUAAAUAGGGGCAUGUAUGUAAAGAAAUAAUUAAUGUAGUUGGAAAUAGAAAAUAAGUCUUAUAAAAAGGGACAAAUUUUUUUUCAAAAGGAUCUUAUAAUUAGGAACGGAGGUAGUAAUUGUUUCGUCACAACCACAAAUAAUAAUCAUUUUAGCACACAUAUAAGAUAAAACUAUGUAUCAUUUAAUUAUUGUUAUAAAAGUAUAUAUUAUUUAAAUUGUUUCUUUUUAUACUUUUCCCAUUUUACAAGUGUGUGCCUAAAGGUUGUGACCAAAUCCAAUCACUUGCAGUAGCCGCUUCAUACAGUGUUAGACAGUAGUUGAUCUCGGUCUUACAAAAGUGAUAUUAUAGUCUAGCUUUGUUUGACUAGUUUUCAUACACUUUCAUCUCAGCCACUUCUUUUUGAUCGAUCGGUGGAUAGGAGUUACUCGUGAUACAAUAACUACGAGGGAUCUAUUUCCAUCUUUGGUCUAAUGAAUUGUGACCAUGGAAGAUUUACUCUGAUGUUUGGGUGACAUAGAAUUUAUGACAUUAGUCAAUCACAAUGUGACAAGUGGUUUUGUUUUUUCUUUAUCUCUCUUAUAAGGAUUGUGACAUUGUGAUUAGUCAAUGUCGCUAAUAUCACCAAUUCUAUGUAACCCAAUUGCUACCUCAGUCCUUAGUAAGUUUUACUUAGGUAUGUAUUAGGAAAAAAAAGGGUUAAAUAUAUUUUUGAUCCUUAUAAAUAUAUCAACUUUUCGUUUUAGUCCCUCUGAAAUUUUCCUUCAACUUCUAGUCACUACAAAAUUUCAGUCACUACUUUUAGUCUUUAUUUUUAAGUUAUUUUUUGUAUUUUUUAAUGAAAUUGUGCAGAAAUGUAUAGAAUAUUGUAAAAAAAAUUCACAAAAAAAGUAGGAAUUUUUUAAAAAAACACAAAUUUAAUAUGAAUUUUUAACCGUAACAAAUGUAAAAAUUCAUAUUAAAUUUAUGUUAUGUUAAAAAAUUCUAGUUUUUUUAGGGAGAGAUUCUUAUAAUAUUAUAAAUUUUUCUGCAAAAUUUUAUUUAAAAGUAUGAAUUCUACAUAAGUUUAUUUUAAAAGAGGCACCAAAAGUAGUGAUUGAAAAUUUUAUAGGACUAAAGGUUGAAGGAAAAGUUUAGAGGAAUUAAAAUAAAAAGUUGGUAUAUUUAUAGGGAUCAAAAAAUAUAUUUAAUCCAAAAAAUAAUAAAUUAAAUAUUUGUAUAAAGUGACUUACCUAUGGCUCGGAUUCAUAGAAUGUACCGGCAAAAACCCAAUCUGCUAUAUCAGUGGUUAAAAAUUGAUUUCAAAGAAUGUCAAAGUAUUUUAGAUUAGUUUCAAAUUUAUACAAACAAAAUGACAAAUCCGCAGCUUCAAGCUUAGGAAAUCAAUUUAUGAUUAUGCAGUGAACAUAACAGAAACUCAGCAAAACCAAGGUAAUGAAUCUCAUUCAGAAAUUUUGUAAUCCACAUUAUACAUUGAAUAAUGCAUUGUGUCACUAUUGUUAGUCAUAGCUUUGCUCUAGAAAAUUGUAAUAUUAUGAGCUUACAGUGAUUUUUGAUAAAACUAAUUCAAGUAACUUAUAAUUUAUCAUCUUUUAUCUAUCCGAUGUGAGACUUGAGUUUUUCCCAAUACACCCCGUCACUCCAACACUCAUUUUGGGCUUAGUGCGUGGAUAGAUAAGUGACCCUUGAAUUCGACAAGCUCUAAUACCAUCUUGUAAUGGAAAUCAUCGUUGGUUCUAAUACAACCACACAAAACUGACUUAUGAGGUGAUGAUUGCCCCACUGAUAAACAAAUGUUUAGACCAUAUUGGUUAUAAUACCAAUGUAAUAUUACUUGAAAAACUAACUAUUAAUUAAAUAUACAUUUCUUUAUGUCAUUUCAUAUUUAUUAACUACUUCAACCACUAAUUUUAUCAAAUACUACAAUUCUAUCAGCUAACUUAUCUACUAUCAACUAUAAAUUAACUUAUAAGUCAUCCGCUAUAAACUAACUUAUCAAUUAUCCGCUAUUUUUUACUAACCAGAGCCACUGUGUCCAAGCGCAAUUGUUUGUUUUGUGGAUGUAUAUGUAUAUGUAACUAAAGUACAUAGAUGUAUUUUAUUAGGAAUAAGAAGAAAAUAAGAGAGAUGGAAAAGGAGAGGAAAAACCAUGUAGCUCACUGUCUGAUCUUACCUUAUCCAGCACAAGGACAUAUGAAUCCUAUGAUUCAAUUCUCAAAGCGUUUGAUAGAGAAAGGAGUAAAGGUUACAUUGAUAACUGUUUAUUCAUAUUGGAAGACUAUCAAAAACAAAAAUCUUUCUUCAAAUAUUGAAGUUGAGAGCAUCUCAGAUGGCUACGAUGACGGAGGGUAUGAAUCGGCAAAGAGCUUUGACGUUUACAUACAGACCUUCUGGAGAGUUGGAUCACAAACUCUAUGUGAGCUUCUUCAUAAGCUUUCUAGCUCAAAAACCCCACCAAAUUGCGUUAUCUUUGAUGCAUUUAUGCCUUGGGCUCUUGAUGUUGCCAAGAAUUUUGGGCUACUUGGUG
This 6853-nucleotide long non-coding RNA is filed under the name Medicago truncatula (barrel medic). RNAcentral's name for it is "long non-coding RNA (MTRU_LNC004033)". The record is from RNAcentral. Lineage: Eukaryota; Viridiplantae; Streptophyta; Magnoliopsida; Fabales; Fabaceae.